UUCAUUCACUACUGUAAGUCGCUCUGGAUAAGAGCGUCUGCUAAAUGACUCAAA
Molecule: non-coding RNA, 54 nt
Organism: Salmo salar (Atlantic salmon)
Lineage: Eukaryota; Metazoa; Chordata; Actinopteri; Salmoniformes; Salmonidae
Source: Rfam